RNAcentral lists this ribosomal RNA (579 nucleotides) under uncultured bacterium. RNAcentral describes it as "bacterial SSU rRNA". It matches the Rfam family "Bacterial small subunit ribosomal RNA", at positions 347 to 916 of the family's 1533-position model. The record is from RNAcentral.
GGCAGCAGUGGGGAAUAUUGGACAAUGGGCGCAAGCCUGAUCCAGCAAUGCCGCGUGGGUGAAGACGGCCUGCGGGUUGUAAAGCCCUUUGGGUGGGGAAGAACGGUGGUUUGCGAACAGCGGACUGCUCUGACAUUACCCACGGAACAAGCACCGGCUAACUCCGUGCCAGCAGCCGCGGUAAUACGGAGGGUGCGAGCGUUAAUCGGAAUUACUGGGCGUAAAGAGCGCGUAGGCGGUUCGAUGAGUCGGAGGUGAAAUCCCUCGGCUUAACCGAGGACCCGCGUCCGAUACUGUCGAACUUGAGUGCAGGAGAGGAGAGCGGAAUUCCCAGUGUAGCGGUGAAAUGCGUAGAUAUUGGGAGGAACACCGGUGGCGAAGGCGGCUCUCUGGACUGUCACUGACACUGAGGCGCGAAAGCUAGGGGAGCAAACGGGAUUAGAUACCCUGGUAGUCCACGCCGUAAACGAUGUCAACUAGCCGUUGGAUCCGCUUUAAGGGUUUAGUGGCGCAGCUAACGCGAUAAGUUGACCGCCUGGGGAGUACGGCCGCAAGGUUAAAACUUAAAGGAAUUGACGG